This 460-nucleotide ribosomal RNA is filed under the name uncultured bacterium. Its description in RNAcentral is "bacterial SSU rRNA". It matches the Rfam family "Bacterial small subunit ribosomal RNA", at positions 56 to 510 of the family's 1533-position model. The record is from RNAcentral.
UGCAGUCGAACGGCAGCACGGGAGCUUGCUCCUGGUGGCGAGUGGCGAACGGGUGAGUAAUGCGUCGGAACGUACCGAGUAAUGGGGGAUAACGCAGCGAAAGCUGUGCUAAUACCGCAUACGCCCCGAGGGGGAAAGCAGGGGAUCGCAAGACCUUGCGUUAUUCGAGCGGCCGACGUCUGAUUAGCUAGUUGGUGGGGUAAAGGCUCACCAAGGCGACGAUCAGUAGCGGGUCUGAGAGGAUGAUCCGUCACACUGGAACUGAGACACGGUCCAGACUCCUACGGGAGGCAGCAGUGGGGAAUUUUGGACAAUGGGGGCAACCCUGAUCCAGCCAUUCCGCGUGAGUGAAGAAGGCCUUCGGGUUGUAAAGCUCUUUCAGCCGGAACGAAACGGUACGCUCUAACAUAGCGUGCUAAUGACGGUACCGGCAGAAGAAGCACCGGCUAACUACGUGCCA